This 469-nucleotide ribosomal RNA is filed under the name uncultured bacterium. Its description in RNAcentral is "partial 16S ribosomal RNA". It matches the Rfam family "Bacterial small subunit ribosomal RNA", at positions 28 to 507 of the family's 1533-position model. The record is from RNAcentral.
GAUGAACGCUGGCGGCGUGCUUAACACAUGCAAGUCGAACGGUGAACACGGAGCUUGCUCUGUGGGAUCAGUGGCGAACGGGUGAGUAACACGUGAGCAACCUGCCCCUGACUCUGGGAUAAGCGCUGGAAACGGCGUCUAAUACUGGAUAUGUGACGUGACCGCAUGGUCUGCGUUUGGAAAGAUUUUUCGGUUGGGGAUGGGCUCGCGGCCUAUCAGCUUGUUGGUGAGGUAAUGGCUCACCAAGGCGUCGACGGGUAGCCGGCCUGAGAGGGUGACCGGCCACACUGGGACUGAGACACGGUCCAGACUCCUACGGGAGGCAGCAGUGGGGAAUAUUGCACAAUGGGCGCAAGCCUGAUGCAGCAACGCCGCGUGAGGGAUGACGGCCUUCGGGUUGUAAACCUCUUUUAGCAGGGAAGAAGCGAAAGUGACGGUACCUGCAGAAAAAGCGCCGGCUAACUACGUG